CCUACGUGUGGCAGCAGUAGGGAAUCUUCGACAAUGGACGAAAGUCUGACCGAGCACCGCCGCGUGAGUGAAGAAGGUUUUCGGAUCGUAAAACUCUGUUGUUAGAGAAGAACAAGCACGUUUGUAACUGAACCUCCCCUGACGGUAUCUCACCAGAAAGCCACGGCUAACUACGUGCCAGCAGCCUCGGUAAUACGUAGGUGGCAAGCGUUUUCCGGAUUUAUUGGGCGUAAAGCGCGCGCAGGCGGGCUUUUAAGUCUGAUGUGAAAGCCUUCGGCUCAACCGGAGAAGUGCAUUGGAAACUGGGAGACUUGAGUGCAGAAGAGGAGAGUGGAACUCCAUGUGUAGAGGUGAAAUGCGUAGAUAUAUGGAGGAACACCAGUGGCGAAGGCGGCUCUCUGGUCUGUAACUGACGCUGAGGCUCGAAAGCGUGGGGAGCAAACAGGAUUAGAUACCCCAGUAGUC
This 465-nucleotide ribosomal RNA is filed under the name uncultured bacterium. Its description in RNAcentral is "partial 16S ribosomal RNA". It matches the Rfam family "Bacterial small subunit ribosomal RNA", at positions 338 to 795 of the family's 1533-position model. The record is from RNAcentral.